CUUGGUCAUUUAGAGGAAGUAAAAGUCGUAACAAGGUCUCCGUUGGUGAACCAGCGGAGGGAUCAUUACAGAGUUACUACUCCAAACCCAUUGUGAACCUUACCUAUGUUCUGUUGCCUCGGCGGCGUCGGUCAGCGCCCCUCUGAGAAGAGGACGAUGCCCCUCCCGCCGGCAGCACCAAACUCUUGAAUUUUACAGCGGAUUACAGUUCUGAUUUGAAAACAAAAAACAAGUUAAAACUUUCAACAACGGAUCUCUUGGUUCUGGCAUCGAUGAAGAACGCAGCGAAAUGCGAUAAGUGAUGUGAAUUGCAGAAUUCAGUGAAUCAUCGAAUCUUUGAACGCACAUUGCGCCCGGCAGUAAUCUGCCGGGCAUGCCUGUCCGAGCGUCAUUUCAACCCUCGAACCUCCGUUUCCUCAGGGAAGCCCAGGGUCGGUGUUGGGGCGCUACGGCGAGUCCUCGCGACCCCCGUAGGCCCUGAAAUACAGUGGCGGUCCCGCCGCGGUUGCCUUCUGCGUAGUAAGUCUCUUUUGCAAGCUCGCAUUGGGUCCCGGCGGAGGCCUGCCGUCAAACCACCUAACAACUCCAGAUGGUUUGACCUCGGAUCAGGUAGGGUUACCCGCUGAACUUAAGCAUAUCAAUAAGCGGAGGA
RNAcentral lists this ribosomal RNA (652 nucleotides) under uncultured Pseudallescheria. Its description in RNAcentral is "eukaryotic LSU rRNA". The stretch from base 238 to 391 matches the Rfam family "5.8S ribosomal RNA". Lineage: Eukaryota; Fungi; Ascomycota; Sordariomycetes; Microascales; Microascaceae. The record is from RNAcentral.